Molecule: ribosomal RNA, 255 nt
Filed under: uncultured bacterium
Lineage: Bacteria
Description: partial 16S ribosomal RNA
Rfam family: Bacterial small subunit ribosomal RNA
Source: RNAcentral
UACGGGGGGAGCAAGCGUUGUUCGGAUUUACUGGGCGUAAAGGGCGCGUAGGCGGCCACCGCAAGUCGAUUGUGAAAUCUCCGGGCUUAACCCGGAAAGGUCAGUCGAUACUGCGGGGCUAGAGUGCAGAAGGGGCAACUGGAAUUCUCGGUGUAGCGGUGAAAUGCGUAGAUAUCGAGAGGAACACCUGCGGCGAAGGCGGGUUGCUGGGCUGACACUGACGCUGACAGCGCGAAAGCUAGGGGAGCGAACGGG